This is a non-coding RNA of Oryza glaberrima (African rice), 202 nucleotides long. The record is from Rfam. Lineage: Eukaryota; Viridiplantae; Streptophyta; Magnoliopsida; Poales; Poaceae.
AUAUAGUGCAGUUGUGAGUUUCCGUGUCCAACGUUUGACCGUAUGUUUUAUUUGAAAAAAUAUUAUGAUUAGUAUUUUUAUUGUUAUUAGAUGAUAAAACAUGAAUUGUACUUUAUAUGUGACUAUUUAAAAAAAAUCAUAAAUUUUUCAAAUAAGACGGAUGGUCAAACGUUGAACACAUAAACCCACAACUGCACUUAUA